Long non-coding RNA from Sorex fumeus (smoky shrew), 457 nucleotides. RefSeq lists it as uncharacterized. The record is from RefSeq and is a predicted model, not a curated record. Lineage: Eukaryota; Metazoa; Chordata; Mammalia; Eulipotyphla; Soricidae. The transcript is spliced from 2 exons.
GUUAUACAGGGAGGAGAAAAAUGUAGCCAUGAUCUUCUAGAAACUCGGCAAUUGGAAUGAAAAAGGAGCAUGAAGAGAUACAACUUCGGAGAGAAAAUGACCUGUAAUGGCAUAGCAACUUAUUUCUCUAUCUCUCCCUGCAAUUGGCUGGGGAAAAAAUCCGAUUCCUGGAGGAUAUGCUAUAAUCUACUUUUAUUUAUCUGGCCAUUUCCGGCAAGUUCUCAUCCCCAGUGAGAAUAUUUCUUCAAAGGAUUCUGUUCAAGGUGACUUUGCCAUGGAUGCACUGGGCUUGAUGCUGGAAUCACAAUCUGGUUAACACGUUCCACAGCAGCUGCUUGUCUCUUCCCUCUUGAAGCCUGAAAUGCUUUGGAAACGGCCAAGGAUGAAGUAUCAGUCUAAAGCAUCUUUUUUUUAAAAAAAAAUUUUUUUGGUUAAAACACUUGACCUUCAAAUUCAA